This 465-nucleotide ribosomal RNA is filed under the name uncultured bacterium. Its description in RNAcentral is "partial 16S ribosomal RNA". It matches the Rfam family "Bacterial small subunit ribosomal RNA", at positions 28 to 507 of the family's 1533-position model. The record is from RNAcentral.
GACGAACGCUGGCGGCGUGCUUAACACAUGCAAGUCGGACGGAAAGGCCCUGCUUGCAGGGUACUCGAGUGGCGAACGGGUGAGUAACACGUGGGUGAUCUGCCCUGCACUUCGGGAUAAGCCUGGGAAACUGGGUCUAAUACCGGAUAGGAGCCAUUUUUAGUGUGAUGGUUGGAAAGUUUUUUCGGUGUAGGAUGAGCUCGCGGCCUAUCAGCUUGUUGGUGGGGUAAUGGCCUACCAAGGCGGCGACGGGUAGCCGGCCUGAAAGGGUGGACGGCCACAUUGGGACUGAGAUACGGCCCAGACUCCUACGGGAGGCAGCAGUGGGGAAUAUUGCACAAUGGGCGCAAGCCUGAUGCAGCGACGCCGCGUGGGGGAUGACGGCCUUCGGGUUGUAAACUCCUUUCGCUAGGGACGAAGCUUUUUGUGACGGUACCUAGAUAAGAAGCACCGGCUAACUACGUG